AUUGAACGCUGGCGGCAGGCCUAACACAUGCAAGUCGAACGAGUGGCGGACGGGUGAGUAAUGUCUGGGAAACUGCCCGAUGGAGGGGGAUAACUACUGGAAACGGUAGCUAAUACCGCAUACCAUCGGAUGUGCCCAAAUGGGAUUAGCUAGUAGGUGGGGUAAUGGCUCACCUAGGCGACGAUCCCUAGCUGGUCUGAGAGGAUGACUAGCCAAACUGGAACUGGGAAACGUGCCAGACUCCUACGGGAGGCAGCAGUGGGGAAUAUUGCACAAUGGGCGCAAGCCUGAUGCAGCCAUGCCGCGUGUAUGAAGAAGGCCUUCGGGUUGUAAAGUACUUUCAGCGAGGAGGCGUUACUCGCAGAAGAAGCACCGGCUAACUCCGUGCCAGCAGCCGCGGUAAUAC
This 406-nucleotide ribosomal RNA is filed under the name uncultured bacterium. RNAcentral describes it as "partial 16S ribosomal RNA". It matches the Rfam family "Bacterial small subunit ribosomal RNA", at positions 30 to 526 of the family's 1533-position model. The record is from RNAcentral.